This 463-nucleotide ribosomal RNA is filed under the name uncultured bacterium. RNAcentral's name for it is "partial 16S ribosomal RNA". It matches the Rfam family "Bacterial small subunit ribosomal RNA", at positions 28 to 507 of the family's 1533-position model. The record is from RNAcentral.
GACGAACGCUGGCGGCGUGCUUAACACAUGCAAGUCGAACGGAAAGGCCUUUUCGUAGGUACUCGAGUGACUAACGGGUGAGUAACACGUGGGUGAUCUGCCUUGCACUCUGUUAUAAGCCUGGGAAACUGGGUCUAAUACCUGAUAGGACCGCACUUUUGUUUGUGUGGGGGAAAGUUUUUUCGGUGUAGCAUGAGACCGCGGUCUAUCAGGUCGUUGGUGGGGUAAUGGCCUACCAAGGCGGCGACGGGUAGCCGGACUGCGAGGUUUGUGGGACACAUUGGGGCUGAGAUACGGGACGGGAUCCUACGGGGGGCAGCAGUGGGGAAUAUGGCACAACGGGAGGAAGCGUGAUGGAGCGAGGCAGCGUGGGGGAUGACGGCCUUCGGGUUGUCAACUACUUUCGCCAGGGAAGAAGCGUUGUGUGACGGUAACUGGAGAAGAAGCACCGGCUAACUACGUG